UUCCGGUUGAUCCUGCCGGACCUGACUGCUAUUGGAGUAGGACUAAGUCACGCUAGUCAAAGGUACAGAAUGGAGUACCUGGCGCACGGCUCAGUAACACGUAAUGAAUCUACCCUAAGGACGAGGACAACCACGGGAAACUGUGGCUAAUCCUCGAUAGGAAAUUUGGCCUGGAACGGUAUCUUUCCCAAAACCGGCUCACCGAGAGACACGGGCCUUAGGAUGGCGUUGCGGCCGAUUAUGCUAGACGGCGGUGUAAAGGACCACCGUGGCGACGAUCGGUAUGGGCGAUGGAAGUCGGAGCCCAGAGUCGGCUACUGAGACAAGGAGCCGAGCCUUACGAGGCUUAGCGGUCGCGAAAACUCGCCAAUGCACGAAAGUGUGAGUGGGCUACUCCAAGUGUCAUUCUUACGGAUGACUGUCGCCCAGUUUUACAAGCUGGGAAAGGAAGGAGAGGGCAAGGCUGGUGCCAGCCGCCGCGGUAAAACCAGCUCUUCGAGUGGUCAGGACGAAUAUUGGGUCUAAAGCGUUCGUAGCGGGACAAGUAGGUUCCUGGUUAAAUUCGACGUCAUAAGCGUCGGCAUGCUGGGAAUACCGCUAGUCUUGAGAGCGGGAUAGGACAGGGGUAGUCUAUGGGCAGGGGUGAAAUCCAGUGAUCCAUAGGCGACCACCGAUGGCGAAGGCACCUGUCUGGAACGUAUCUAACCG
Molecule: ribosomal RNA, 708 nt
Filed under: uncultured archaeon
Lineage: Archaea
Description: bacterial SSU rRNA
Rfam family: Archaeal small subunit ribosomal RNA
Source: RNAcentral